Non-coding RNA from Miniopterus natalensis, 675 nucleotides. The record is from RefSeq and is a predicted model, not a curated record. Lineage: Eukaryota; Metazoa; Chordata; Mammalia; Chiroptera; Miniopteridae.
AUGAAGUCAGUCAUUUCGUAUGCACUAUAACAAUUAAGAACAGGUGUGUAAAACACCCAAGUGUUUACUGUUAGUAUACUAACCAGUUCCCCCUUGCAGCUUCAGACUGGUAUCUGGAAACAGUUCAAAUCCAGCACCUGAGUGGACCCGAAUAGUUCUGUGCAUAGCUCACCUUCUAAACCCAGGGCGCAUGGAGAGGUGGGCGAGUCCGUGUGUGGAAGCUGCAAGCAGGUAGCCCCUUUAUUCAUUGAUUCUUUCUCCCAAAUGGGUUCAAAUCUGUCCGCACCCAUUGGAUUUUUUUCCCUAAACUUCAGUUAAGCUGCUGUUUUCUUCCACGCAAUAUUGUAUACUUGGUUGUGUAUAGAAGCUGGUGAGAGUGCCCUCCUACAUAAGCAAUUGCAGUGUUUUGCAUGCAGAGUUUUAAAACUUUAAAUUGUCCUGAUUCUAUUUUGUAAAUGGAGAAACAAUCAUAUCUUUCUAAGCAGUAAUGGAGGAAGACUAGUGCUUUGUGCAUUUUGAUAUAAUUGAGUUCAUUUUUUCCAUGAUGUAAUACUUUUGACACAGUUGGGUUUCGCAUAUUAUCCUAGUUCAUGUACAUCAGAAUGCUAAUAAUACUGUGUUUAAGUUUUGUGUUGCAAGAACAAAUGGAAUAAACUUGAAUUGUGCUACAGCUAA